Molecule: ribosomal RNA, 85 nt
Filed under: Prolemur simus (greater bamboo lemur)
Lineage: Eukaryota; Metazoa; Chordata; Mammalia; Primates; Lemuridae
Source: RNAcentral
GUCUAUGGCCAUACCACCCUGAACGUGCCCGAUCUCAUCUGAUCUCGAAAGCUAAGCAGGGUUGGGCCUGGUUAGCGCUUGGAUG